RNAcentral lists this ribosomal RNA (253 nucleotides) under uncultured bacterium. RNAcentral's name for it is "partial 16S ribosomal RNA". It matches the Rfam family "Bacterial small subunit ribosomal RNA", at positions 524 to 776 of the family's 1533-position model. The record is from RNAcentral.
UACGAAGGGGGCUAGCGUUGUUCGGAAUUACUGGGCGUAAAGCGCACGUAGGCGGAUCUUUAAGUCAGAGGUGAAAUCCCAAGGCUCAACCUUGGAACUGCCUUUGAUACUGGGGAUCUUGAGUCCGGAAGAGGUGAGUGGAACUGCGAGUGUAGAGGUGAAAUUCGUAGAUAUUCGCAAGAACACCAGUGGCGAAGGCGGCUCACUGGCCCGGUACUGACGCUGAGGUGCGAAAGCGUGGGGAGCAAACAGG